GUUUAAUUCUAGAGAAUGUUUACCUUGUCCCUCUGGUUUAACAACAACAGAUAUCGGUGCUAAUUCUUUGGAUCAAUGCACAGAUCCAUAUUUAUUAAAUCCUACUACUACAAUGGCACCAGAGACAACUCCUUCCCCUGUGUUAAUCUGUGAUCCUCCAUCAAACACUACUGGCUUAAGAUAUGACUGUAAAGGUUAUACAGUGGGAGAUGAAUGUUUCAUUAGUUGUGAAAAUGGUACAUUAUGGGGUGCUGAUAUGAUGACUUGUAUAUGGGAACCACCAAUCGCUGUCUGGAAGUUAAACUAUCAACAAACACCUACAUGUGAAAGUGACGCACCAUCAGACUGUCAAGAAUUAUCUUCUCCUGAUCAAGGUACUGCCGUUUGUCAGUCAACAACAGAUGGUCUUGAAUGUAAUCUUGAAUGCGAUUCCAGUUACUCUAUACCCCGAGGUUUCAACACUUACAAGUGUAAUUCAUCACAAGGGGUUUGGUUACCAUCUGAACAACUUCCAGAUUGUACAGCAAUAAGACAAGCAACAAAAAUAAGUCUAAAAGCUGAAUUAAGAUAUAUAUAUGGAGAUUGUUCAUCUGCUGAUGUUAGAAAACAGAUUCAGACCAGUUUUAAGAGUCGUAUGGAAUCUGCUAGUGGAUGGAAGGGUGCAUGUCCAUCUCAUAAAACGUGUCUUGUUGAUCGUAUUAAGGUCACCUGCACGGAGAACUCAU
Long non-coding RNA from Patella vulgata (common limpet), 725 nucleotides. RefSeq lists it as uncharacterized. NCBI's taxonomy places the organism in Eukaryota, Metazoa, Mollusca, Gastropoda, Patellidae. The transcript is spliced from 4 exons. The record is from RefSeq and is a predicted model, not a curated record.